This 1281-nucleotide long non-coding RNA is filed under the name Ornithorhynchus anatinus (platypus). Its description in RNAcentral is "lncRNA (ENSOANG00000035208.2)". The record is from RNAcentral. Lineage: Eukaryota; Metazoa; Chordata; Mammalia; Monotremata; Ornithorhynchidae.
ACACACACACACACAUAUAUAUAUACACCCACACGGCAUGUGCAUAUGCACAGUUGCAUAACACAAAAACCCAAGUAGAUAGACCCGCACGUGUGCAAGUACAUACCUGUACACACACAAAGAAGCAACUGCACACAUGCCCAUACACACACCUGCUCCCUCCCCCUCCCCCACCAUCCAGCACACAUUCCUAUUCCCAUGUAGACAGGUCCAUGUAUCCAUUCCCCAGAUAAUCAGAGACCCAGAUAAAAUAAAGCUUCCAGGAUGACAGACACCUAGCAGACAGGGUGGUUAGUUUAUGUAGGCUGUAGGCAGAGUCGACUGGAAAAUUUUGAUCACUUUAAUUUACUAUAUCCAGCCUGCCUGCUGGACUCUCCCUGCGCUUUGAUCAAGCUCUGUGAGGUGGUAUUGAUUUUUUUAUUUUCUAUGGAGGAUAAGAAGACAGAGAGUUAGAAACAAGAGUGAAUGAAGAACUUUCCUCAGAUUACUGCUAUUCUCUCCCUUAUUGCAUUCUGUCGUUUGUGGUUUCAGAUGAUGUCCGGAGUGUCAGAGUUGCUUGAAGCAAUAAAGCGGCUGGACAACAGAGGAAGGAAAGCUGCUGACGGGACCUUGCCAAAAGCGCACCUGCGGCCGUGGAUGCUGAAAUGAAAACUGAAAUGUCUUGCCAAGAUGAAAACGGAGCCAGUUCUACGGUGGGAGUGGGAUGGAGGACCGAACGUCUUCACUGGGAACAAUCCUGGCUCCCCCUCCACGUCAUCCUGGGGCCACGCUUCCGGCCUGCCUGGCGCCAGCGCUGCGCUUAGGACGGAUCCCCAGGAAACCAAAGUGAAAGCAGGAAUCCGAACCGGCCAGUGGCGGGGUGUGGAUUCGAAGCGUUUUUGGCCAAGCUCCGAAGCCGUGUGGGAGUGUCAUUUUGCCUCCAUCUGAUGGUCUCCUGGAACAGAACUCUCACGCUGACCUCCGUGGACGUCCUCUGUUUCUACCCCGCCGCCCCAAGCGUUCAGAACGCGUGUUUACUUCAUUUGUCCUGACGGGCGCUGUAAUUACAGGCAGUUUGUUUCCUCUGCUGUAAUAUACGGUCUCGAGCAGGAAUAAAGUAACGUGGAAAAUUAACAUUGUGAUGUACUGUACGGUGGAAUAACACUAAAAACACUUAGCAGCGGGCGCACUGGAGGUGUUGUUUGUGUUGUGUGCAAGAGCUAUAAAGAUUUAAGUGGCUCUUUCUCAACUAUAUUUGCAUGAUUUUCGACUGCAGUAAAAUGAAUCUGAUCCGUCUCGGAG